This 940-nucleotide ribosomal RNA is filed under the name uncultured bacterium. RNAcentral's name for it is "bacterial SSU rRNA". It matches the Rfam family "Bacterial small subunit ribosomal RNA", at positions 537 to 1501 of the family's 1533-position model. The record is from RNAcentral.
GGCGACUUUCCGGGAUACUGGGCGUAAGAGUUGCGUAGGUGGCAUUGUAAGUUGUUAGUGAAAGCGUUCGGCUCAACCGAAUAUACAUUAACAAAACUGCAAAGCUAGAGGACAAGAGAGGUCACUGGAAUUCCUAGUGUAGGAGUGAAAUCCGUAGAUAUUAGGAGGAACACCGAUGGCGUAGGCAGGUGACUGGCUUGUUCCUGACACUAAGGCACGAAAGCGUGGGUAGCAAACGGGAUUAGAUACCCCGGUAGUCCACGCCGUAAACGAUGGAUGCUAGCUGUAUUCGGUAUCGACCCCGGAUGUAGCGAAGCUAACGCGUUAAGCAUCCCGCCUGUGGAGUACGGUCGCAAGACUAAAACAUAAAGGAAUUGACGGGGACCCGCACAAGCGGUGGAGCGUGUUGUUUAAUUCGAUGGUAAGCGAAGAACCUUACCCAGGUUUGACAUCCUUGGAAUUUUUCCGAAAGGAAAAAGUGCUUUAUUGAACCAAGUGACAGGUGUUGCAUGGCCGUCGUCAGCUCGUGUCGUGAGAUGUUUGGUUAAGUCCAUCAACGAGCGCAACCCUUAUGUUUAGUUGAAUUUUUCUAGACAGACUGCCCUGGCAACAGGGAGGAAGGAGGGGAUGAUGUCAGGUCAGUAUUACCCUUACACCUGGGGCUACAAACACGCUACAAUGGCCGGUACAAAGGGCAGCCAAGUCGCGAGACGGAGCAAAUCCCAUCAAAGCCGGUCCCAGUUCGGAUAGCAGGCUGAAACUCGCCUGCUUGAAGUCGGAAUCGCUAGUAACGGUAGGUCAGCUAUACUACCGUGAAUACGUUCCCGGGUCUUGUACACACCGCCCGUCAAACCAUGAAAGUCGCCAAUACCUGACGUGCUAGCUUGCCUAGCCCUAAAGUAGGGGAGAUGAUUGGGGGUUAAGUCGUAACAAGGUAACC